RNAcentral lists this ribosomal RNA (910 nucleotides) under Variovorax sp. RNAcentral's name for it is "bacterial SSU rRNA". It matches the Rfam family "Bacterial small subunit ribosomal RNA", at positions 8 to 916 of the family's 1533-position model. Lineage: Bacteria; Pseudomonadati; Pseudomonadota; Betaproteobacteria; Burkholderiales; Comamonadaceae. The record is from RNAcentral.
AGAGUUUGAUCCUGGCUCAGAUUGAACGCUGGCGGCAUGCCUUACACAUGCAAGUCGAACGGCAGCGCGGGAGCAAUCCUGGCGGCGAGUGGCGAACGGGUGAGUAAUACAUCGGAACGUGCCCAAUCGUGGGGGAUAACGCAGCGAAAGCUGUGCUAAUACCGCAUACGAUCUACGGAUGAAAGCAGGGGAUCGCAAGACCUUGCGCGACUGGAGCGGCCGAUGGCAGAUUAGGUAGUUGGUGGGGUAAAGGCUCACCAAGCCUGCGAUCUGUAGCUGGUCUGAGAGGACGACCAGCCACACUGGGACUGAGACACGGCCCAGACUCCUACGGGAGGCAGCAGUGGGGAAUUUUGGACAAUGGGCGCAAGCCUGAUCCAGCCAUGCCGCGUGCAGGAUGAAGGCCUUCGGGUUGUAAACUGCUUUUGUACGGAACGAAAAGUCUCUUUCUAAUAAAGAGGGAUCAUGACGGUACCGUAAGAAUAAGCACCGGCUAACUACGUGCCAGCAGCCGCGGUAAUACGUAGGGUGCAAGCGUUAAUCGGAAUUACUGGGCGUAAAGCGUGCGCAGGCGGUUAUGUAAGACAGUUGUGAAAUCCCCGGGCUCAACCUGGGAACUGCAUCUGUGACUGCAUAGCUAGAGUACGGUAGAGGGGGAUGGAAUUCCGCGUGUAGCAGUGAAAUGCGUAGAUAUGCGGAGGAACACCGAUGGCGAAGGCAAUCCCCUGGACCUGUACUGACGCUCAUGCACGAAAGCGUGGGGAGCAAACAGGAUUAGAUACCCUGGUAGUCCACGCCCUAAACGAUGUCAACUGGUUGUUGGGUCUUCACUGACUCAGUAACGAAGCUAACGCGUGAAGUGACCGCCUGGGGAGUACGGUCGCAAGAUUAAACUCAAAGGAAUUGACGG